CCUGUGGAGCUGGACGGCGGCCGGGAAGGGUCAGUCUGUGUGAGGGCAGCCUUGGCUUUAGGGGUACAUCGUCUGGAGCCAGACGGGCAGGACCUUGGGAACGAGGGCCGGAAUCAAGCUGUGUCGGCCCGGAGUUAAGGGUUUGCAGAGCUUGUAGGGCGUCAGAGCCGGUGAAGUCCAUUGUAAGAUGGGGAAACUGAUACCCAGAAUGGGACAGUCACUACCUCGGGGACGCACUGUGGGGGUUCCCCACCUCCAGGAUGGGUGCCAAAUGACGAGUAUCAGGUGUCUAUUGGUGAGACUUGGGGAAGAUCCCAGACCUUAACAGCCGUUUGGUUGAGUCCCCUCACGGUGUGGCAGGUGAUGACCAACAAGGCAUCAAAGAGACAGAGUAACUGAGGGCUUUCACUCCAGCUGUCUGGCUGCAGAACUUAGAGAAAGAGCACAAGCAAGCGGAGCGGCA
Molecule: long non-coding RNA, 463 nt
Organism: Neogale vison (American mink)
Lineage: Eukaryota; Metazoa; Chordata; Mammalia; Carnivora; Mustelidae
Exons: 4
Source: RefSeq, a predicted model, not a curated record